AUGGCUCCCCGUCCACCUAGCUCUCAGGCAGACGUUCGAGAGGUAUUUAAUCCUACCGAUGCCGAGUCUGCCGCGAAAUCCAUCCUCUUCGAAGUGUCAGAGGUUCCUUAAGCUGAGCGUACUGCGCAAACUGCCUCGCACACGAGCAAUCCACUGAGAGCUGCCCUAGCGGUGACCAGUGCAAAACCUGCGACCGGGACCAUCAUACGCUGCUCCUCAUGCACGAACACGCUUCCCGGAAAAAGUCCGGCUCUCAGCAACAGGCCGCUUCUCCGCAGCGUUCGCGCCGGCUAGAUCCCUAAGCCCUUCACCGCGCUCAGCAUCCUCGACACCAUCUCCGUCGCUCGCGGCACUUCUCCAGCGCCACAGCGUCGACGUCCUCCCAGAUGCCUUGGUGAUCGUCGAGACCGGGGAGAGCUAUUGAAAGGAAAGCAGAUAAUUUAAAUUGUGCGCACCGAAACCUAAUAGUUUUGUGAUAAAAACUGAUAUUUAUUGACCAUAAUAAAGACAGUUAGCCGAAUGGAAUAAAAUAAAACUAUGUGACACGAUGAAGAAAAUAUUCUUUACUUUCAUAAGUGACAUCUCAUCAGACAUUAUGAAUUUCACAAGUGAUUUGUGUGAAGUGUUACGAAAUUACCUCCCAUACGACAAAUACGUAGAAGGCACGCAUGAAAUCAGGACUGUCUUUGAAAAAUGUUCAUACUAGCUGUCACGAGUGAAGAAGCGGACAUCCCAUACAAAUGUCUAUAUGGAGUGGACACCACCAAAAACUAGUACCACAGGUGAUGCACUUUUCUAGUUAUAGCCUAGUACUCACAUCGACGAAAACCGUGACUAACCAUAGGAGUGAGCGAGAGGCAAACAAGCGGCUAAAACUUUUCGUCGGGUCUGUUUUUCAGCGCGGUACUCA
Molecule: long non-coding RNA, 910 nt
Organism: Drosophila subpulchrella
Lineage: Eukaryota; Metazoa; Arthropoda; Insecta; Diptera; Drosophilidae
Exons: 3
Source: RefSeq, a predicted model, not a curated record